Metarhizium acridum CQMa 102 is the source of this 71-nucleotide non-coding RNA. The record is from the annotation of a RefSeq genome assembly. NCBI's taxonomy places the organism in Eukaryota, Fungi, Ascomycota, Sordariomycetes, Hypocreales, Clavicipitaceae.
GAGGUAUUAGUUUAAUAGUAAAACUUAAUGUUACAGCUAUUACAUUUAUAGUUUAAGUCUAUAAUACCUCU